RNAcentral lists this ribosomal RNA (380 nucleotides) under uncultured bacterium. RNAcentral's name for it is "partial 16S ribosomal RNA". It matches the Rfam family "Bacterial small subunit ribosomal RNA", at positions 338 to 732 of the family's 1533-position model. The record is from RNAcentral.
CCUACGGGGGACAGCAGUGGGGAAUAUUGGGCAAUGGAGGCAACCCUGACCCAGCAACGCCGCGUGAGUGAUGAAGGUCUUCGGAUUGUAAAGCUCUGUGAGGGGGGAUGAAAAAAAUGACGGUACCCGACUAGCAAGCCACGGCUAACUACGUGCCCGCAGCCCCGGGAAUCCGGAGGGGGCAAGCGUUAUCCGGAAUGACUGGGGGUAAAGGGGGGGUAGGUGGUUGUGUAAGGUGGCGGGGUAAUUCCGGGGCCCAAACCCCGGGCUACCGUUGAAACUGUGGACCUAGAGUGCAGGAGAGGUAAGCGGAAUGCCUAGUGUAGCGGUGAAAUGCGUAGAUAUUAGGAGGAACAUCAGUGGCGAAGGCGGCUUACUGG